This 941-nucleotide long non-coding RNA is filed under the name Strongylocentrotus purpuratus (purple sea urchin). Its description in RNAcentral is "uncharacterized LOC105445715". Lineage: Eukaryota; Metazoa; Echinodermata; Echinoidea; Camarodonta; Strongylocentrotidae. The record is from RNAcentral.
CUGUUGUGCCAUUUGCUUUCAAAACAUUAUAUAAAAGUGUUUGACGUCCGGACAUCACUUUUGACUUUCGACGGUUUAUUUUUUGAAUUUACGUGUUUAGCUCCCUCUAUGUCAUUUAACAACCAGCGUAUUUACAACGAGUGUUUGAGUUCGUUGGUACGUACAGUACUACAGGUAGCUAGCAGGCGGGUAUCCGACCGCGCGCUAGUAAUACAGUACAGCUGAUCAAUUCCAAUACGCUGCUUUCACGUAAAGUAUAACACACACAGCUCAUAUCAGAUUAUCACCGGCGCCGAUCGAACGCUAGACAGCUACAGACAAGCUUUGAUUGAAAUACGAUAACGAGAUCGAGAUUGGAAAAGGAGCUCGAGGUCACGGACGAUGGCCGACUCGGACUCAGCUAGUGCUAAGCCUAAGGACAAGGCUAAGGCUACGCUAAAUCGGAAUAAGACUAAGUAAGACGGUAAGAGGAAGGAGAAAAACAAGCAAUGGCAGCUCGACCAUCCGGCCCAGAGGAGGCGCGGGAGUGGCUGUGAACAAGGCCAGGGUACGGCGGAGAAACUUCGCGAGCUGCAGGCGGCCUUCUCGUUGCCGAGUCUAGAGGAUGCAAUAGACAUGCCAGCUCACUGAGAGAUAUGAAGAACAGACAACACAAUCCAUCCCCAGCGAAGAAAUUCCAAGCAGCAGUAGGGGAAUUAGCAGGUGAAUAGUACAAGUCACCUUUGACCGCAAAUUCAUGGAGAACUUGGCCUACUCUGCUGAUUUGCUCGCUUCAGGCACACCAGCAUGCUCGAGUGUUUCCACAACCAUAUACUGAUGUAUGCUUCCAAGCGGUAUUCCUUUGACUACCCAGCAAACUGGGCAAGGAAUUUGCUUGCGGUCAUCGACUACAUGGCACACAAGGACAGGCCUGACCAGAUUGAUGUACAAGGCAAUACAAA